RNAcentral lists this transfer RNA (75 nucleotides) under Paenalicyclobacillus cellulosilyticus. RNAcentral's name for it is "Alicyclobacillus cellulosilyticus tRNA-Ala". The record is from RNAcentral. Lineage: Bacteria; Bacillati; Bacillota; Bacilli; Caryophanales; Alicyclobacillaceae.
GCGGCGUUGGCGCAGCCGCAGGGCGCCGGGCUGUUGGCGAUAGGCCAACCCCGGUUCCACUUCAGCGCGCUGUAC